Molecule: long non-coding RNA, 769 nt
Filed under: Dromaius novaehollandiae (emu)
Lineage: Eukaryota; Metazoa; Chordata; Aves; Casuariiformes; Dromaiidae
Description: lncRNA (ENSDNVG00000016293.1)
Source: RNAcentral
UUUUUAUUCCAACACCCUACCCUGCACCUUUCCAGGUCUAGUAAAUCUGUCAUCAGUAGGCUUAGAUAAGGACCCUGCAAUGCCUCUGGCAGAAGUGAGAUGUUUGUUUAAUGUAAAACCUCCCGGACCUGCUCCUGAGGAGACCAGAAGAAGUUCUUGAUGCGAGAACAAAAGAUAAAAGUUCAAUCUGGAAGGCAGAAAAGUGGGUUGUCAACCAUAUAGCUUGGACGAUUCGUCCUACAGCAGGCUCUAGGGUAUCAUCGUCUGGCUUUAUCUCGCUUUCUCAGCUUCUACUCAAGACUACUGUGCAUCUUAAGAAGUUAUCCCAUAGGAUCUACAUUCUUCCUCUGCAAAACAUGUGCUUUUGCUCCUACAUCAAAAUGAAUCACAGACCUGGGGCCCCUGAGAGGACAAAAGUGUAGCACCAUGAGGACUGACAAUAGCCUGAGGCAGAAGGAUAACUGCAGGCUGCUGGCACAAUUUCAGCUUCUUGACAAAUCCACUAGCAAACCCAAGUCUGGGCCCCAGUGAUAUCUGACCUCACUCCUUGCAGCAAGAGGAAUCUUUUAAGUCUGGUGAAGAGGAAGGAAUCCCAUAUCUCCAUCCUUACUUCUGCUGACCAGUUAGCUGGAUCCCUCCAGGUGACUUGAAGAGGGCAGGUGGAAAGAAAACCUUCUCUUGGCAUCACAGUAAAGGCACGUCAUCUCCUGCUGGACCCCUUAGACUGCAUUAUCGGGGUGUGAAAUUGUAAAAUGUUAAUACAUUUUCA